UGAGACACCAUCUCAAAAAAAAAAAAAAAAUACAGAAAAGAUUAGUAUGGCCCCUGUCCAAGGAUAACACACAAAUGUGUAAAGUAUUCCAUAGUUUU
This 98-nucleotide small nuclear RNA is filed under the name Pongo abelii (Sumatran orangutan). The record is from RNAcentral. Lineage: Eukaryota; Metazoa; Chordata; Mammalia; Primates; Hominidae.